AAGAAGCGCGCCCCCGGGCUGGAAGUUCUCCUGGGGGCGGGCGUCCCCCCGGAGUCUGCGGCAGAUGGGGGAGGCCCCAGUGGGGCGCACGUGGAUGAAUUUCUGGGAGGAAACCAUGUACCAUCCGCUCUCGCUCGCUGCCAUCCAGUGUUUUCUUCCCUCAUCAUUCUAUCUGGGAGCCGAAAAUGGACCUUAAUCAUGACUGCGGAAUGCAAGAGCAGUGCCCAAGCGGUCCGUCUGAAUCGGAUGCACAGACGCACCUUCUUUUCCCCUGAAACAGGGAACCUCUGGAGAAAGAGUAAGGCAUCGGGGCACAGUGAUGGUCUGAAACUCGGUGGAGGUCCCGGCUCUGCCACUUGUGAGCUGGGACAGCUUGGUCUUAUGGCUUGACUGCUCUGAGCUGCUGGUUCCCAAUCUGCAUCAGGUGAAUAGGAGCAGUACUCACCACGCAGGGGUCUCAGGAUUAAGGAAAAUCAAGUCCAUCGUACCUGGCACAAGGUAGCUGUGACCAUUACCACGUCAACCUCAGUCCCCCUCCACACACUGUGAUAGCAACCUCCAGGUGGUUCGUGCUUCACAAUUGUCCGAGGAUUUUCAAGAGCACUUUCGUGGGGGCUCCAUUCAGCUCCCCAGUUUGCAUGAUGCUUAGCUAUG
Long non-coding RNA from Camelus dromedarius (Arabian camel), 654 nucleotides. RefSeq lists it as uncharacterized. Lineage: Eukaryota; Metazoa; Chordata; Mammalia; Artiodactyla; Camelidae. The transcript is spliced from 3 exons. The record is from RefSeq and is a predicted model, not a curated record.